UAGGGUAAUGAAGCAGAUGCCAUAACCUUGGAUGCCGGUUGGGUGUAUGAGGCAGGCCUGACUCCCAACAACCUAAAGCCUGUGGCAGCAGAGACCUAUGGGAUACCUGAAAAGCCACAAACUUCCUACUUGGCUGUGGCCGUGGUGAAGAAGGAUACAGGCUUCCAGCUGAACGAGC
Long non-coding RNA from Peromyscus leucopus (white-footed mouse), 178 nucleotides. RefSeq lists it as uncharacterized. Lineage: Eukaryota; Metazoa; Chordata; Mammalia; Rodentia; Cricetidae. The record is from RefSeq and is a predicted model, not a curated record. The transcript is spliced from 2 exons.